UCCUUUAAGCAUAGUGCAUUUUCUUAGCUACACCCCUAAAUUUCAGUCAGUUUUUAUCUUUUCUAUAUUUUUAUUUAUUUAUUGUUUUCUUAUUAUUACUUUAUUUAUUUAUUUUUGUUUUUUUUUCUUUACUUUUUUAAUUCUUUUAUCUUUUGUAUUAAUAAUAUGCCUCUCCCUUUUAUUUUUUAUUUUAUUUUUUAAAAUUAUUAUUGCUUUAUUUUUUAGUUUAUUUUAUUAUAUUUUUAGUUGAUGUAUAAUUAUUAAUCCCAAAAGAUAAAAUGACCCUUAAAAUUGAUCUUUCAAAAAUACUAAAAUCAAAUGUGCUUGAUCAACAUCAAGUGCAUUUUUUUAAAAUCACACCAAAAUAUUUUCAAACCAAAAUCAAUUGCUUAACAUCCAUUAACCUUCACAAAUAAAAUCAAUCCUUUAAAAAAAUCAACUUGGUCAACACCAAGACUUUUUCUUUAAUAACAACCUCAUAUCAUUUUAAACUAUUUUUCAUAAUCCAUUCAAACGCAAAUCAAAUGCUUGAUCAAAUGUCAAUCUCCUUUCAUAUUCAAACCAAAUCCUCUACUCCAACGUUUUUUUUUGCAAUAAACAAAUCGAUUGAAAAAUAUUGGGGUGGAAAU
This 629-nucleotide long non-coding RNA is filed under the name Lathyrus oleraceus (garden pea). Its description in RNAcentral is "Pisum sativum (pea) long non-coding RNA (PSAT_LNC033088)". Lineage: Eukaryota; Viridiplantae; Streptophyta; Magnoliopsida; Fabales; Fabaceae. The record is from RNAcentral.